This 77-nucleotide ribosomal RNA is filed under the name Bacillus subtilis. RNAcentral's name for it is "partial 16S ribosomal RNA". It matches the Rfam family "Bacterial small subunit ribosomal RNA", at positions 1464 to 1533 of the family's 1533-position model. Lineage: Bacteria; Bacillati; Bacillota; Bacilli; Caryophanales; Bacillaceae. RNAcentral also lists the same sequence under 1 other name. The record is from RNAcentral.
GGGACAGAUGAUUGGGGUGAAGUCGUAACAAGGUAGCCGUAUCGGAAGGUGCGGCUGGAUCACCUCCUUUCUAAGGA